Molecule: long non-coding RNA, 337 nt
Filed under: Panax ginseng (ginseng)
Lineage: Eukaryota; Viridiplantae; Streptophyta; Magnoliopsida; Apiales; Araliaceae
Description: long non-coding RNA (PGIN_LNC004224)
Source: RNAcentral
UCAAACGGUCAAGAAGCUCUUUCAAUUUUUCAACUUCAUAAUUGAUCUAGAAGGAUUUAAUGUUGCAGUCUCUGAUUGUUGGAAUGUUCAAAUUCGUGGCAACCCAAUGUUUAUUCUUUUUGAAAAGAUGAGGAGAACUAAGAAAUCUAUUGUUCAACUUAACUCAUCGGCUGGUAAUCUUUCUAAUAAUGUAUGUAUCCUUCAGGCCCAGCUCUCUACCAUUCAGUCUUCUCUUCACUCUGAUCCCCACAACACCUCCUUUCUCAGUCAGGAAUUUCUUUGUAUGCAGUCGCUAUGGAAAGCCCUUGCUUUACAGGAUCUCUGUUGCAACAAAAAU